This 1364-nucleotide ribosomal RNA is filed under the name Escherichia coli. RNAcentral's name for it is "partial 23S ribosomal RNA". It matches the Rfam family "Bacterial large subunit ribosomal RNA", at positions 139 to 1545 of the family's 2925-position model. The record is from RNAcentral. Lineage: Bacteria; Pseudomonadati; Pseudomonadota; Gammaproteobacteria; Enterobacterales; Enterobacteriaceae.
UUCGACACACUAUCAUUAACUGAAUCCAUAGGUUAAUGAGGCGAACCGGGGGAACUGAAACAUCUAAGUACCCCGAGGAAAAGAAAUCAACCGAGAUUCCCCCAGUAGCGGCGAGCGAACGGGGAGCAGCCCAGAGCCUGAAUCAGUAUGUGUGUUAGUGGAAGCGUCUGGAAAGGCGCGCGAUACAGGGUGACAGCCCCGUACACAAAAAUGCACAUGCUGUGAGCUCGAUGAGUAGGGCGGGACACGUGGUAUCCUGUCUGAAUAUGGGGGGACCAUCCUCCAAGGCUAAAUACUCCUGACUGACCGAUAGUGAACCAGUACCGUGAGGGAAAGGCGAAAAGAACCCCGGCGAGGGGAGUGAAAAAGAACCUGAAACCGUGUACGUACAAGCAGUGGGAGCACGCUUAGGCGUGUGACUGCGUACCUUUUGUAUAAUGGGUCAGCGACUUAUAUUCUGUAGCAAGGUUAACCGAAUAGGGGAGCCGAAGGGAAACCGAGUCUUAACUGGGCGUUAAGUUGCAGGGUAUAGACCCGAAACCCGGUGAUCUAGCCAUGGGCAGGUUGAAGGUUGGGUAACACUAACUGGAGGACCGAACCGACUAAUGUUGAAAAAUUAGCGGAUGACUUGUGGCUGGGGGUGAAAGGCCAAUCAAACCGGGAGAUAGCUGGUUCUCCCCGAAAGCUAUUUAGGUAGCGCCUCGUGAAUUCAUCUCCGGGGGUAGAGCACUGUUUCGGCAAGGGGGUCAUCCCGACUUACCAACCCGAUGCAAACUGCGAAUACCGGAGAAUGUUAUCACGGGAGACACACGGCGGGUGCUAACGUCCGUCGUGAAGAGGGAAACAACCCAGACCGCCAGCUAAGGUCCCAAAGUCAUGGUUAAGUGGGAAACGAUGUGGGAAGGCCCAGACAGCCAGGAUGUUGGCUUAGAAGCAGCCAUCAUUUAAAGAAAGCGUAAUAGCUCACUGGUCGAGUCGGCCUGCGCGGAAGAUGUAACGGGGCUAAACCAUGCACCGAAGCUGCGGCAGCGACGCUGAUGCGUUGUUGGGUAGGGGAGCGUUCUGUAAGCCUGCGAAGGUGUGCUGUGAGGCAUGCUGGAGGUAUCAGAAGUGCGAAUGCUGACAUAAGUAACGAUAAAGCGGGUGAAAAGCCCGCUCGCCGGAAGACCAAGGGUUCCUGUCCAACGUUAAUCGGGGCAGGGUGAGUCGACCCCUAAGGCGAGGCCGAAAGGCGUAGUCGAUGGGAAACAGGUUAAUAUUCCUGUACUUGGUGUUACUGCGAAGGGGGGACGGAGAAGGCUAUGUUGGCCGGGCGACGGUUGUCCCGGUUUAAGCGUGUAGGCUGGUUUUCCAGGCAAAUCCGG